RNAcentral lists this ribosomal RNA (322 nucleotides) under uncultured eukaryote. RNAcentral's name for it is "partial 18S ribosomal RNA". It matches the Rfam family "Eukaryotic small subunit ribosomal RNA", at positions 1470 to 1796 of the family's 1831-position model. The record is from RNAcentral.
CCCUUAGAUGUUCUGGGCCGCACGCGUGCUACACUGAGUGGAUCAGCGGGUCAGGUUGCGCGAAAGCGUUUCCUAAUCUUUAAAUCCGCUCGUGAUGGGGAUUGACGGUUGCAAUUUUCUGUCAUGAACGAGGAAUACCUUGUAAGCGCGGGUCAUCAUCCCGCGCUGAAUACGUCCCUGCCCUUUGUACACACCGCCCGUCGCUCCUACCGAUUGAGUGGUCCGGUGGGGCUUUGGGAUCUGAGCGGAAAGAGCGUCUCGCUGUUUCUGCUCGGAAAACUCAGUCGAACCUUAUCAUUUAGAGGAAGGAGAAGUCGUAACA